GUACACAAUGAAGGACCUGAUUGCUGCCUAGGUCCCAAUGUGGUCUCGCUCGAUAGCGUGUGGGAUGGAGUUGGACCUAGACAGCAAUCGGGGCCUUCAUUGUGUAC
Non-coding RNA from Marchantia polymorpha subsp. ruderalis, 107 nucleotides. The record is from the annotation of a GenBank genome assembly. Lineage: Eukaryota; Viridiplantae; Streptophyta; Marchantiopsida; Marchantiales; Marchantiaceae.